CCACAACUCCUGUACUCAGGGUCUGGCCACGCCUCCUGCACAGAGCAUGGAACUACAGUGACGCACUAUGUGGAAAUUAGAUGAAAUGUCAGUGAUUUAUGGAAAAACAAAUAAGCAUGCGUCUAUCACUGUGCAGUCGUACCGUCUAUUCUGCGUGCAGUUCUGAGAACUGAACAGUCGCGUAACGUACUGUUCAAUACAAAUACAUGUGUUGCGACACCCCUAAUAACAUAUAUAAAAACACACGCACCAAGGAAAGGCACACGUAAGAUAUAAUUGGAAAAAGCAGAUUCAGACAUUACACCCAUUUAGUGAUCCCUUCACUGGCUUCCUGUCCCAGUGAGAUCAGAUUUUAAGGUUCUGCUACUAGUCUAUAAAAUUGUUCAAGGACUGGCACCUCCCUAUCUAGCUGACCUAAUUAAACCUUACGUACC
Molecule: long non-coding RNA, 434 nt
Organism: Thalassophryne amazonica
Lineage: Eukaryota; Metazoa; Chordata; Actinopteri; Batrachoidiformes; Batrachoididae
Exons: 3
Source: RefSeq, a predicted model, not a curated record